This 112-nucleotide microRNA precursor is filed under the name Podarcis lilfordi (Lilford's wall lizard). The record is from RNAcentral. Lineage: Eukaryota; Metazoa; Chordata; Lepidosauria; Squamata; Lacertidae.
GGAAAGUUGGGUCUCUCUCUCUCUCUCUCUCUCUCUCUCUCUCUCUCUGUGUGUGUGUGUGAGAGAGAGAGAGAGAGAGAGAGAGAGAGAGAGAGAGAGAGAGAAACGGUAG